UUGGGAAUCUUGCACAAUGGGGGAAACCCUGAUGCAGCGACGCCGCGUGGAGGACGAAGGGUCUAGGCCUGUAAACUCCUUUUUUCGGGAAAGACUUAGGACGGUACCCGAAGAAUAAGGACCGGCUAACUACGUGCCAGCAGCCGCGGUAAGACGUAGGGUCCAAGCGUUGUCCGGAUUUACUGGGCGUAAAGAGCGCGUAGGCGGCUCGUUAAGUGUAGAGUGAAAUCUCUGGGCUCACCCCAGAAACUGCUCUGCAUACUGGCGAGCUGGAGGGAUGGAGAGGCUUGUGGAAUUCCUGGUGUAGCGGUGAAAUGCGUUGAUAUCAGGAGGAACACCCAUGGCGAAGGCAGCAAGCUGGCCAUCACCUGACGCUGAGGCGCGAAAGCGUGGGUAGCAAACA
Molecule: ribosomal RNA, 403 nt
Filed under: uncultured Fimbriimonas sp.
Lineage: Bacteria; Bacillati; Armatimonadota; Fimbriimonadia; Fimbriimonadales; Fimbriimonadaceae
Description: bacterial SSU rRNA
Rfam family: Bacterial small subunit ribosomal RNA
Source: RNAcentral